UGGGAAUAUUGGACAAUGGGCGAAAGCCUGAUCCAGCCAUGCCGCGUGUGUGAAGAAGGUCUUCGGAUUGUAAAGCACUUUAAGUUGGGAGGAAGGGCAUUUACCUAAUACGUAAGUGUUUUGACGUUACCGACAGAAUAAGCACCGGCUAACUCUGUGCCAGCAGCCGCGGUAAUACAGAGGGUGCAAGCGUUAAUCGGAAUUACUGGGCGUAAAGCGCGCGUAGGUGGUUUGUUAAGUUGGAUGUGAAAUCCCCGGGCUCAACCUGGGAACUGCAUUCAAAACUGACAAGCUAGAGUAUGGUAGAGGGUGGUGGAAUUUCCUGUGUAGCGGUGAAAUGCGUAGAUAUAGGAAGGAACACAGUGGCGAAGGCGACCACCUGGACUGAUACUGACACUGAGGUGCGAAAAGCGUGGGGAGCAAAACAGGAUUAGAUACCCUGGUAGUCCACGCCGUAAAACGUAUCAACUAGCCGUUGGGAGCCUUGAGCUCUUAGUGGCGCAGCUAACGCAAUUAAGUUGACCGCCUGGGGAGUACGGCCGCAAGGUUAAAAACUUAAAUGAAUUGACGGGGUCAUAGCUG
This 582-nucleotide ribosomal RNA is filed under the name uncultured bacterium. RNAcentral's name for it is "partial 16S ribosomal RNA". It matches the Rfam family "Bacterial small subunit ribosomal RNA", at positions 356 to 932 of the family's 1533-position model. The record is from RNAcentral.